AAGGGGGAGAGUAAUCUUGAGAGAGUGCUAAUUUUUUCAAGCCAUAGUUAGAUUCUACGGGUCCCUUG
This 68-nucleotide transfer RNA is filed under the name Gymnothorax hepaticus (liver-colored moray eel). Its description in RNAcentral is "tRNA-Ser". The record is from RNAcentral. Lineage: Eukaryota; Metazoa; Chordata; Actinopteri; Anguilliformes; Muraenidae.